UAAGAACUAAGAAUCACUCUUAACCUUCUUAAAGAUUUUCUUUUACACAAGAUGAACAAGGCUUCGAUUACUAUGUUUUUGGUAGUUGCUUUCUUGGUCGUUUCAUGCGAUAUGGUGGAAAGCCGAAGGUCGUGUAAGACGACAAAACAGUGUCAAUCCAUGGAAGGUGUAAACAUGUAUCCACAUUGUGUUUGUGUUGAUGGGACAUGUGUAUGCUCUUCUAUCGAUCAUGAAGAUAAUGGUUUAGGUGGCAAGUUUUAACCUUGCAAGAAUGUUAAAAAUGUCUCAUUUGAUGAUGAAGACUAUAUAUGUGAUAAUGUUUACUUGAUGAAAUAAAUUGGAAUAAAAUUAGUUGGUUGCAUCA
Long non-coding RNA from Lycium barbarum (goji berry), 364 nucleotides. RefSeq lists it as uncharacterized. NCBI's taxonomy places the organism in Eukaryota, Viridiplantae, Streptophyta, Magnoliopsida, Solanales, Solanaceae. The transcript is spliced from 2 exons. The record is from RefSeq and is a predicted model, not a curated record.